CAGCAGUGGGGAAUAUUGCACAAUGGGCGCAAGCCUGAUGCAGCCAUGCCGCGUGUAUGAAGAAGGCCUUCGGGUUGUAAAGUACUUUCAGCAGUGAGGAAGGUGGGUAUGUUAAUAGCAUACUCAUUUGACGUUAGCUGCAGAAGAAGCACCGGCUAACUCCGUGCCAGCAGCCGCGGUAAUACGGAGGGUGCGAGCGUUAAUCGGAAUUACUGGGCGUAAAGCGCAUGCAGGUGGUUUGUUAAGUCAGAUGUGAAAGCCCGGGGCUCAACCUCGGAAUUGCAUUUGAAACUGGCAAACUAGAGUACUGUAGAGGGGGUAGAAUUUCAGGUGUAGCGGUGAAAAUGCGUAGAGAUCUGAAGGAAUACCGGUGGCGAAGGCGGCCCCCUGGACAGAUACUGACACUCAGAUGCGAAAGCGUGGGGAGCAAACAGGAUUAGAUACCCUGGUAG
RNAcentral lists this ribosomal RNA (452 nucleotides) under uncultured bacterium. RNAcentral's name for it is "bacterial SSU rRNA". It matches the Rfam family "Bacterial small subunit ribosomal RNA", at positions 349 to 793 of the family's 1533-position model. The record is from RNAcentral.